This 130-nucleotide ribosomal RNA is filed under the name Carlito syrichta (Philippine tarsier). The record is from RNAcentral. Lineage: Eukaryota; Metazoa; Chordata; Mammalia; Primates; Tarsiidae.
GGCCAUACCACCCUGAACGCGCCUGAUCUCAUCUGAUCUUGGAGGCCAAGCAGGGUCGGGCCUGGUUAGUACUUGGAUGGGAGGUCCAAAAAUCAAACAACAAAGGACACUAGCCAGGAAAUGCGGUGUC